CGCUCUUUUAUAUAUUUUAAAUCCAGUAAUGAGUGUUUAUUUUUGUUCAUCAGUGAAUGAAAACGGUUAUUAUCCUGAUAUGAAUUCAGCUUAUGAUCCUGAAUUUAUAUUGUUAAAGCAGUCAAUGAUAUUAUUUCAGAGUUAUAACUGACUUAGCAAAGUCACGUUAUUUAUUUAAGCGAGAUGGAAUUUAAUUUUAUUUUUACUCAGGUCGUGAAUUAUUUCCGACUCAAGAAGUUAAUUAAAUCUGCGGAUUUAAUUUAGAUAUCAGAACAACGAACGAAUUAAAUCUACGGAUUUAAUUUAGAUUCAUUUUAUAAUUUAUCGGUUUUAGUGAGAAAUCACAUGUCGAAAUACGAGAUUUAUUUAAAUAAACAGUAUCAAGCAUAUACGAGCACACGAUCCAUCUUACAGUUACAGAAUCACCGAGACAGAGAAAAUACAUCAAUAAUUCUCCUCUACAUUUUUUUUCCUUUCUUUUUCUUCUCUUUUUCUUUCCAUUAAUUUUGUUCCCCACUCCAUCAACUCCACUACCCUAUGCUCCCCACCAUCACCACUACCUUUGCUCCCCAUCAACUCCAACACUUCACCCAUUCCUUCCAUUUCGCACCAGCAAUCACAAAGAGAAGGAAGACUUGGCUUAACUACUUUGCCAAGAUUUCAAGCUGCUCCAGUCCAGUAGUACCCCAACACUCGAAGCUAGAGUUUAUUGGGUGAAAAACCGUGCAUGAGGUAAGGCAGCGAAUCUGCCAUAAGCACACUGCUCCGGCAGUGUUUUGCAAGGCGAUUUCAGCCAUCCAAACGGUUCCCAAAAAUUCCCAAAUUAAUUGUGUAUCAUCUUUCAUACAUUUUCUAUAUUUUGGUAAAAUUUCAGAAUAUUUAGAGCUCGCAUGAUUUAUUUAUGAAUUUGUAAACAUCACUGCCCAUCUGGAAUACAUUUUUGGUAAACAAUCUUUGGGAGAUCAUAAGUAAAGUUUCACUCGGUGAAAACCUUUGAAACUUGAAUAUGUCACUCUAGACUCCCGUAUCUUUCUUUUGACAUCGGCCUCACCAUUUUUGAGUAAGGGAAACAACCGGUAUAAAUUCUUGAAAUCUAGUUCUUAUUCCAUGUACCAUCCAGUAGAUUUUACAAACCUACGACUUUGAGGUGGAAAAGGCCGACUUAAAUAUUUGAUUCUCAAGCCUAUCUUUCUACUGAAUAUUCACUGACAUGUUGGGAACUUACUUGUUCAGUUUUAGAAUUUUUGGUGAAGCUUAAAGUGGUUUUUCCGAUUUAUGUUCUGAAUCUGCCAAACUUGAACUCUUUUUGUGCACUGAAAUUUAGAUAGUCAUAUCUUCUAAACCAUGAAGGUUCUUAGAGUAAAUCCAACUGGAGAGUGUUAUGAUCUCUCCCUAGUUUCCAGAUUGACCUUUGGGGUUCCCAGUGGAGUUUUGUAAAGGGAGAUAUGAAUUUUUAAAGAAAGCCCACUGACUUGGUUGUAAUCUGGAAAUAUGAAAUUUACAGAUUUUUGCUUGUUAAAUACCCAUCUUUGAGAGGGCAUAUCUUGCUCGUUUGAAUUGUUUUUCAUUCGAUUCAAAUUGGAGAAUGAUCCUUGAAAUGUCUAGUUUCCAGAAUGUCUUUUGGAGCCUCAUUUGGAGAUCCGAGGUAGAUUUGGUGUCUGUUGUAAAACAACCCCUUAAGAGCUCAAGUUGUUGAAUUAUUUUCUAUGUAUCAAAGUUUAUUUUAAAGGAUGUUUCGUGAAAGAUUUAGUAUAUGUGCGUAACAAGUUUGGGACUAUUUAUUUUAAUGAGGUCCGUUCUUUAUUUAAAUUAGGAUGGACUUUUAAUGAAUAUUUUUGGGAUUAAACUAUUAUUUCUUGAUUUAUAUAAAUUAUUUUUAAGGACUUAUAAAUAUGAAUUUCGUAGGCCUACUGACCUACUGUGAUCGACGGUUUGUCGAUGUCUAACAGCUUUGAAAAUUUUAUAGCAAGUCCCUACAUGAGUCUUGAGUACCCUGGUAAAAUUUCAAGCCAUUCCAACUUCGUAUGAUACUUCUUUAAAAUGUAAAACCUAAACUGCACAUUACUACUGAGAAUUUCAGAGAACAGAGAAAAGAGUCAUUUAUUUCAGUAGCUUCCUGGGUGAUCUAGCUUUCCAAAUUUUUAUGGUAUUAACCUUAUUGUGUUAUUUAGAUAUCCACCAAAGUUGAGCCCAGUUUGACAACGUUUACUAUUUUUCAAAAAUACAAGUUUUCGAUUGUUUAAAACUGCCGAACAUGGUAGAUCGUGGUAAAAACGUCAUAUCUCUCAAACCACUUGGAGUUUUCGACUCUAUUUUUUUUUAUAUGAAACUAGACUCGAAGAUAUUUCUUUCGGUAUGAGUCUCGAGUCCAGGAGAUGUCGGAGUCAGAACAGAUUAAAUUUUGAAGUUGAGUCAGUGUAAAAGCAGAGCAUGUUUUGAUGAUGUUUGAUUGUGAUUCUUAUGUGCCUUAUGUUGAGCCUUUUUAUUUUAUUUUAUUUUUUUUUAAUUUUAUAACAUUACUUGUUCUUAUUUAUUAAGCCCGAUUAAUUAUGAGAUUAUAAAGCGAAUAAGUUGAAGUAUUUAUUUUCUAUUGACUACGAGGAGCGGGGUUUAUUUAAUUGACGGAUUAGAACACCCCGAAGAGAACGGAUUAAUUUUUGUUAAUUAUCCGGCUUCAUGAGACGAGACUUAGCUUUUGUUUAAAUCCGAUAGCCUGGAUUAACAAUAGAAAUUCCCUGAUUAUUAUCUCAGAAUAAUAGUUCAUGCAUACGAGAUUCAUGCAUAGUUUAAUUACGCAUUCUCAUUUAAUUGAGAAUUUUCCCUCGAUUUAAAGUCUUACGUUAUUUUCUCGGAUUAAAGGUCGAGCGCAAGAAUAAGAGCUCGUCAAGGAGUCACUAAUCUGUAGCAAAGCUUUGCUAUCAGGUGGGCAUUACUUUCAUAUAUAUAUCAAAUGAGUUUAAAUGUUACGUUCAAGCAAGUUAUUUCAUGACUAAAUUAAUUGAAGUUAUUUCAAAUAUUGUCUUGCCAUAAAAUGUUUAAAUUUCAGUAUGAUAUCUAUCUGAUGUGACUUUAAUCAUGUAAUCGAAUUCGGGUCUUGAGCAGUUGAUAGCUAUCCUGCCAGGGCUAGUGUACACCAGUGACCGUGAGUCAUCUAGCGGGUUGGCCGGUCAAGUGUCCGUGAGAGGUGGCCACCUCUCCGGCACACAGUUCCAGAUAUGAUAGAUUACAAGAGAACUUAGUCUGCAGACGAACUUUAAGAAUCACAAAUGAAUUUAGUAAGCUUGGGCCUUUUUAGAGAAAAACUCCCUUGCUGUACUGUUUAUGAUGGCAUGACAAUUUACAACUUUACGAAGCAUGUUAUAUUUCAUAGUGGGCAUUACUUUCAUAUAUAUAUCAAAUGAGUUUAAAUGUUACGUUCAAGCAAGUUAUUUCAUGACUAAAUUAAUUGAAGUUAUUUCAAAUAUUGUCUUGCCAUAAAAUGUUUAAAUUUCAGUAUGAUAUCUAUCUGAUGUGACUUUAAUCAUGUAAUCGAAUUCGGGUCUUGAGCAGUUGAUAGCUAUCCUGCCAGGGCUAGUGUACACCAGUGACCGUGAGUCAUCUAGCGGGUUGGCCGGUCAAGUGUCCGUGAGAGGUGGCCACCUCUCCGGCACACAGUUCCAGAUAUGAUAGAUUACAAGAGAACUUAGUCUGCAGACGAACUUUAAGACUCACAAAUGAAUUUAGUAAGCUUGGGCCUUUUUAGAGAAAAACUCCCUUGCUGUACUGUUUAUGAUGGCAUGACAAUUUACAACUUUACGAAGCAUGUUAUAUUUCAUAGUAGGCAUAUGUGCCCACUGAGUACUUUUGUACUCAGCCCUGCAUAUAUUUCUAAAUGUGCAGGUUGAGCAGCUGCCGAUGGUGAUGAAGUGACGAGCGGGACUCUUUUGUCUUAUUAUGUAUUAAUGAACUCUAGGGUUACAUGUCUUCAUACAUGUAAUCAGAACCUUAUUCCGCUGCGUACUCAGAAGUUUUAUGUUAUUUUGGAUAAGUCGGAGUUAUCCGAACCUGUUAGUUAUUUGAGUCUAUACGACAAAAACUCUGUUAUAUUAUAGAUAUCUAUGUUGUUAACAAUGAUGAAAUACGAUCCUUUCUUGUUUGAUUA
Long non-coding RNA from Salvia miltiorrhiza (redroot sage), 4141 nucleotides. RefSeq lists it as uncharacterized. NCBI's taxonomy places the organism in Eukaryota, Viridiplantae, Streptophyta, Magnoliopsida, Lamiales, Lamiaceae. The transcript is spliced from 2 exons. The record is from RefSeq and is a predicted model, not a curated record.